AGGCAACCCGCGGGCCGAGACGGGGUAGUGAGGGCCGGAAGCCCGGCUCCCGACUCCGCUUCGUCCCCACAACCUCCGGCCGCCUGAAGUCCUGAGGGGCCGUGGCCCUGGGUCGUCUCCCCUGUUCCCAGCCUCCAGUCGCAGCUGGCGGAGAGAAGUUCCCGAGGCCCCCCCGACUUGCAAGGAGGCCGAAUUUUUUCCCAAUCCCAGAGAAGGUGUCAGAGGCCUGGAGCUUCCCUUUCCAUCUCCAGGGCUACUGAGAAAAUGUUGGACAGAGGAAGGAAGGCAGGGCAGGGCCAGGCUGCAGCUAGCAUCUGGACUGUUGGCUAAUGCUGGUGAUGGCGCAGAAGACCCUUGCCCCCUUUUACAGCUUCUCCCCUAGAAGCCUGGCCCAGAUGCCUGAAUUCCCACCUUUCAUGCACUUAGCCCUGGGGCUUGCAGUUUUGCCAGGUCCUUACUGCCUCCUCCCUCCUGUGGCCUGCCCGGAGGGGCACACAAGCAAAGCCAGUGCCUCUGUGGACAGGCAGCUUAAGACAUUAGGAGACAAAUGAAGGAAGGAGGCAAAACUUCCAAGGCCGGACUAUCUCCUCUGGACCAGAGUUUCGGCCUGCUGGGAAUGGAGUCACCAGCCCCGGGGGGGCUGACAGGUGGCUCCCGCCUACAGAGCUGUAACUCAUCCCUGCUGCUGAACAGGAAAGGGCCUGCCUUACCCAGAUCCCAUCCUCCGGAAAGGGUUAGUCAGGCAAGUGUGCUGAGAGGCCCCUGGGAACCUCGUCUCGAUUAACCCAUCAGAAAGCAGCCCAUCCUUUGCACCCAGCUCUCAGAUGGAAAAGUGAAGCCCAGAAGGAAGGGACCUGACACGGAGGCUUCCUUGGUAGCAUUUCAGUCUCAAGGGAAGAACUGUGGGCCUCCCCUGGAGCACUGGUGAAGUAAGGGGUUGGUUUGGAUAUUGUCUCCUGACUGGGAUAUGGGCAGGACUGACAGGGAGCUGGAGUCCUAACGAAGCCUGGGCUAGGUGCAGGAAGAACCAACCCAGUGGUCUCCUGACAUCUCCCACGCCCCCACCGCAGCUGGGUCACCUCCAGAAUACGGAGGAGAGAGCUGGAGGUGGAGGAACUAAGGACCUUCUUUGCCAGUUUCAGUUACUCAUUGUUGGGGCUCAGAAACCAAUACCCCGAAAUAUAGUGGUGUGACAUUCUGAACUGAAGAAGCCUUAAGGUCUCUCCGACCAGACUCCCACAGGCCCCCCAACCCUUUGUCUCUUCCAAAGCAUACAGUGAAGUUGUUCUCUGAAGUUCCUCAUCUGCCUUAAGUCUGGACCCACCAAAGAAGAAAACAAUGACCACUGGUCCCUUCCCGGAGUUUUCUCUGACUGAACUGCUGUCACAGGAAGAAAGACUGAAGCCUGCUCACAUACCUGGACAGAUUUUGCAAACCGUUGUCUGCUCUGUGAGCCCAACAGACUUUGUCCCAGGCCACUGUAUGUUCUUCAAGCCCACUGAAUUCCCCUGAAAAUCAUUUACUAGCCCCCUGAAAUUACCCACACUUCCCCAUUGCUCAUCUGUACCCCAUUUCGUGGUGGGGCAGUCACUCUGAUUUCCCCUUGCAUGCUAAUGAAUGUGUAUUCCAUUUCUAUUCUGCUUUCAUGAGCUGACUUUUCAGUGAACCUUCAGAGGGUAAAGGGGAAGUUUUCCCUUGGCCCCUGCACCGCAAUUGGUAAGGUCCAAAAUGUUAAAUGGAAAAUUCCAGAAAUAGCUGGUCGUGAUGGCUCCUGCCUGUAAUCCCAGCACUUUGGGAGGCCGAGGUAGGUGGAUAGCUUGAAGUCAGGAGUUCGAGACCAGCCUGGCCAACAUGGUGAAACCCUGUCUGUACUAAAAGUACCAAAAUUAGCUGGGCGUGGUGGCGCACGCCUGUAGUCCCUGCUACUUGGGAGGCUGAGGCAGGAGAAUCACUUGAACCUGGGAGGCAGAGGUUGCAGUGAGCAGAGAUCGCACCACCACUCCAGCCUGGAUGACAGAGUAAGACUCCGUCUCAAAAAAAAAAAAAAAAGAAAAUUCUAGAAAUAAACAAUUCAUGUUUUAAAUAAC
Molecule: long non-coding RNA, 2087 nt
Filed under: Homo sapiens (human)
Lineage: Eukaryota; Metazoa; Chordata; Mammalia; Primates; Hominidae
Description: ADIRF antisense RNA 1, transcript variant 2 (ADIRF-AS1)
Source: RNAcentral